Long non-coding RNA from Leopardus geoffroyi (Geoffroy's cat), 2319 nucleotides. RefSeq lists it as uncharacterized. The transcript has 3 exons. NCBI's taxonomy places the organism in Eukaryota, Metazoa, Chordata, Mammalia, Carnivora, Felidae. The record is from RefSeq and is a predicted model, not a curated record.
UAGCAAAUUAAUAUACCCGCAAAGAUGCUAUGAGACAGAGCAGAUGGUGACUCUCAAGCUGGCUAGGGUCUGGUGGAUGGGACCAGGCAAGGUGAGAGCAAUGAGUGGUGCCAGGCAUGUCAUGGGACCAGGUUGGAUCCUUAUGCAGCACCUCUGUUUCCUUCUCUGCUCACGUCUGGCAAGGAAGGGACUAGGAGGUUAGAUUAGAAAAGGAGGUUUGAGUUAGCCUCUGAAAAGCCUGAAAGUACGGGUAGCUACAUCCCCAUUUGCUGAAGGUCCAUCUUACUACAAGGGAGGGGAGUUCUACAGGGAUGUUAAAGAGUGGAAGGUUUCUUGCUCCCAGCCCAACCAGCCUGGGAUGGUUUUUAGUUUGUAGAAUUUUCCAUCUAACACAAUUUCCCAGUACACUGGAUCCUCAUACUCAACCAACACACUCCCUGUUGCUUUUAAUCCACAGGCCAGAACAAAUCAUAAUCAUGCUUUUAAAGGCAUAACCAUACCAAUACCAUACCAAUAGGUAUAGAACAUAUGCCGGCACUGUCUUAUUUUCUACUUCUGAGGCUUUUCCUCUUUAAUUGUGAAUUUAUGACUGUUUAAUUGAUAACUAAAUGCCCGGAAGUCUGAUAUCAAGAUAAGUAAGAUUUUAUUUUAAUCAGAAAAUAAUUCCUUUCAAAUUUACCAUCUGAAAAGCAUGCAGGUCUUAUCCCUUGGGAGCUAAUUAUGGUACCUUCAUGAUGAUGAGAAUGGCAGCUCAGCUUGACCCAGGAAACAGAUCAUGCCCUAGAAUUUUAUUUGAUAUUUGAAAAAGCAAACACGUACUGGAGGGGAGAAUAUAACUGUAACCAAGAAAGGAGAUUUUACUAUGUUUGUGCAGUGGAGGACAUUGGAGAGCAGAGAAAGAAGAGGAAAAUGGAGGGAAGAAUUGAGAAAACAUUUUGGAAUGUUGUAUGCAUGGUCAAAAGAGGUCAAAAGUUAAAGAACCCAGAUGGUGCAUCAGAAUGGCAUUACCACUAGCUCUCUCAAGCCCUCCCCCCCCACCCCCCACUUCAAACCCAAAUCUCUUCUCUUAAGAAUAAUGAAAAUGUUAUACUGAUGACAUGGAUGAAUACUAAUCCAUGUGAAAUAUCAAUUUUGUAAAGACAAUUUAGAAAUAAAAAUUUUUCUAUCCAAAUUCCUCAUUCCUGUGGCUAGUCAAACUUUCCCUAGAUUUAAAUAAUAGCAAAGGAGAGAGCAAUAUUUAUAGUUGACUUUGUCAUUGUGGGAACACAAGCAACCUCAGCCUGAAGGAUGCUGAGACUUCAGAGGCAACCAGGCAAAGAAAGGAGCAUAUGUUAGGACAAGCUGGCAUAAGAGAACUGGAGAGAAAUGUAAACCAGGCUACUUGUGGUUGUCUUUGCAAAGGCAUUUAGAUUUUAAGUCGUUUUUUAUUGCAGCUAGCAUCCAAUUACAGUGACGUGGCCAUGGGAGCUUAAGGACCAAGCACUGCCACUUUAUUUUUUUAUUGUUGCCUAUAUGUUAUAAAAUGGGUGAGUUUAAUGCCUAGAUCUUUGAGUAUAUGAUUUGUUCUGGAGGCAUGAUAAUCUCACAUCCUUUCAUAAAUGCCAUCUAGUCAUCCUCAUGUGGGCGCUCAGUGAAAGUCUAUAACAUUAUAAGAAAUGGAGUUAAAUAAAAUGCAUUUGAAUUUUAAAAGCUGCCCUUUAUUGCCCAUGAAAUACCCAGAGGUCUCCUUUUAGCACAAGAAGUCUCUUUUACACUUACAGACAAUGGUAGCUAUUGCAGACCAUUAUAGAGUUAAGUUAGCACUUAGGUAAAAUUUGGUCAUUUUAUAAAAUCCUAAGGAGUCUAUGAUGUUUCCGGUUGUCAGAAAAGGUUCUGAAAAGUUAUCUAUGCUGCUGACACCAUGCACGUAAAAUUAGGUCCUGAAAUGUAGCUUGGACUCGUUGCAAACUGAAAUCUUUUCAAAGGUGAAAACACAGGAAGAAGGGAUCAAAUCAAAGAGUAACCAAAUUUGACAACUGCCACAAAGAGAAAAAUGGGAAAAGAAAUGACACUUUGUGUUUGAUCUUGAUCAUAACAUGGAGAAGUUUCCUCCUAAAAAAAGUGGCUUGAAUUCCCCCCUUUAAUUGAUUGGCAAAUAGACAAUGCUACACCUGUAAGCAGUCAGGUAAUAAGAGCAAUUAAAAAUCAACCCUUCCAUUUAAAUAAGACCUUAUCAAAACUUGCUACCAGAACUUCCCUUUUGAAACAAUUCUUUUCAAAGGUUAAUUUCAACUGACAGUUGGAUAUUUAGCAUUCCUUUGUGGAAGUCAUUUCAAUUAA